Molecule: long non-coding RNA, 955 nt
Organism: Alligator sinensis (Chinese alligator)
Lineage: Eukaryota; Metazoa; Chordata; Crocodylia; Alligatoridae
Exons: 3
Source: RefSeq, a predicted model, not a curated record
AGCGAACCCAGCCAAGCUCCCCGAUCUCCUGUCUUCUUUCUCUUUCUCUCCUUCUGUCUCCUUCUCUUUCUCUUGUUCGUUCUCUCACUCACUCUUCCAUUUUUUGCCACUGUGCCAGUUAAUUUAAAUGUAUCUGUUCAAGUGGAGAUAAUCCAUGCAAAUCAGAGUCACUGGCUCCCAGUGCUUGAUUCACAAAGAGAACUCAGCUUCAGGAGGUCACUCGUUCACAGCUGCUCCUCCCAUUAUAUUUUUCCCUUAUUGCAGAACUGCUGCAUGUAUACAGUGACUGAAAGGACUCAAUUUACUGCAACUGCUGCCUGGUUUUACUUACAACUUUCUGUAAAGGGAGACUUACCUUCUGUCUGUCUUGUUAAGUAUCGGGCAAGGUCUUAAUACAAAGUCUCUGAUCGUCAGAUGCAAUCUUCAAUCAAGUUUAUUUUUUUAAUGUUUUCUAAUCUAUGUUAGAGUGCCUAUAUAAAUAGGACCUGAUGAAAUCACAGUAGACCGAAAGCUCUGAAACACAACAGAAAUGAGACACAAAUUUAGUAAAGCAAACUGGACAGAAAGAGGGGGACAGAAAAAAAGCCUUCCUUACUUUCUUGAAUAAUAUUGAAGAUACAAAUCUUCAGUUUCAUCUUUGGGGAAUGGACACUUUUAGGCUUCAGAAAAUGUAUUUGCUACCCACAUUAUCUCAGUGCCUAAAAUAUGCAUCUUUUCUCUUUGAUAUACAGUCUGCUUUUGUAAAAAAUGUAUUCUGAUUUUGGAGCAUAGUACAAACCAAGGGAGCCUUGUCAUUGUUAGCAUAAAGAAGACAUCUACACAAGUAUUACUGUGCAGAGGGCAAUCUUUCUUUCUCUGGCAUUUGUUAGGUUACUGUACAUAGAAUUUAGCAGAUAAAUAUCUUCUGCUUCCUGGCAUUUUAGUGAUCCUAUUGGUAUGCAGACUGGUCUACUAG